GCCCGGAUAGCUCAGCUGGUAGAGCAAAGAUUUGAACUCCUUGUGUCCUUGGUUCGAUCCCGAGUCCGGGCACCA
Molecule: transfer RNA, 75 nt
Filed under: Escherichia coli
Lineage: Bacteria; Pseudomonadati; Pseudomonadota; Gammaproteobacteria; Enterobacterales; Enterobacteriaceae
Description: tRNA-Phe
Rfam family: tRNA
About the family: Transfer RNA (tRNA) molecules are approximately 80 nucleotides in length. Their secondary structure includes four short double-helical elements and three loops (D, anti-codon, and T loops).
Source: RNAcentral